This is a long non-coding RNA of Dama dama (fallow deer), 2724 nucleotides long. RefSeq lists it as uncharacterized. NCBI's taxonomy places the organism in Eukaryota, Metazoa, Chordata, Mammalia, Artiodactyla, Cervidae. The record is from RefSeq and is a predicted model, not a curated record. The transcript is spliced from 2 exons.
GCAGAGAUGUCAGUGCCAGUCUCCCAGCCUGCGUCCGCUGGGAGAGUUCUCCCCGAAACCGUUUGGAACUCUCCACUGAGGGACCUGAUCCGUGAUGUCCGGGUCCUGUCCAACCUGGCCCCAACAAGAUGGUUAUUUUGAGUCACUACCCUGCCCUCUUCUCUGUCAGUCGACUCUGGAUUGAAGUCCCUUCCUGACUCACCUUCCUUGCAGUGAGCUGAGGAACUUGUACUAUGUAACAGCUGAUUAUUUCCAGGCCGUCGGUCGUGCCCGACUCUUUGUGACCCCAUGGACUGCAUGCAGCACGUCAGGAGGCUUCCCUGUCCUUCACCAUCUGCCGGAGCUUGCUCAAACUCAUGUCCAUUGAGUCAGUGAUGCCAUCCAACCAUCUUGUCCUCUGUCAUCCCCUUCUCCUCCUGCCGUCAAUCUUUCGCAGCAUUGCAGGCUGUUUUACCCUCAAUCCCAGUGAGCAUUUUAUUUCACUCUUCCACUGGGGAGGGGAAUGUAUCCUGCAAGCCAGUGUGCAAACUACAGUCUGACAGAUUUGAGACCUGAACAUAGGGACACUCUCUGAGGAACCCUGAGAACCUGUGGAGCUAACUCUCCCUCUGUGUGCCACAGGUCAGAGAAGCAUGAAAUGAGGGCAGUAAUGGCAUAUGCUUCUUGGGUGGUGUCCAGCAUCAAUUACCUACAGCAAAAAUACUCUACCAAGCAAGGCUCUUCUUUCGGAUUCAACAUGGAAUCAAAAGACAAGCAAAGGCUCAGAGAAUUCAACAGGACCACACCAGCUUUACAACAACGACUAAUGUAACAGCUCUAGGCAGAAACAAAAAGGCCAUGACUACAUUCAAGAAAAUUAUGAAUGGGAAAGCUCACCAGUAAAGACAAAGGCACAGUAAAUAUGGGAACUCAUCCACACACAAAUAUGAUAUCAAAACCAGCAGUUAUGAGAGGAUGGGAGUACAAAUGCAGGAUAUUGAAAAUGCAUUUGAAAUUCAGAGACUAGUAAAGUUAAACAAGUAUAUAUACAUGUGUAUAUAUAUACUCUUUUACUCAGGCAUGUCUGACUCUGCAACUCCAUGGACUAUAGCUCUCCGGGCUCCUCUGUCCAUGGAAUUUUUCCAAACAAUGAUACUGGAGUGGUUUCCAUUUCUUCCUCCAAGGGAUCUUCCCAACCCAGGAAUCAAACCAAAAUCUUCUGCAUCUCCUGCAUUGGCAUGGGGAUUCUUUAGCACUGAAUCACCUUGGAGACACACAUAUAUAUCUUUAUACGUGUGUAUGUUGUGUGUGUAUAGACAGCUAGAACAAAAAAAACUCAUGAUAACCAAACAUCUACAAUAGAUAUAGACACACAAAAAAGGGAUCUAAACACAACACUAAAGAUAGUCAUCAAGUCACAAAAGGAAGUUUAGAACAAACACCUUUAAAACAAACCCAAAACAAUUUUUAAAAUGGCAAUAAGGACACACAUGUCAGUAAUUAACUUAAAUGUAAGUGGAUGAAAUGCUGCAUCCUAAAAAAAAGGAGAUAACGAUUAAAAAAAAAAAAAGGAAAACCCAUGUAUAAUACUGUCUGGGCUUCCCUGGUAGCUCAGCUCGUAAAGGAUCUGCCUAUAAUGCAGGAGACCCCUGUUUCAUUUCUGCACUGGGAACAUCCCCUGGAGAAGGGAUAGGCUACCCAUUACAGUAUUCUUGGGCUUCCCUGGUGGCUCAGUCUGUGAAGAAUCUGCCUGCAAUGCAGGAGACCUGGAUUCGAUCCCUGGGUUGGGAAGGUCACCUGGAAGAGGGCAUGGCAAGCCACUUCAGUGUUCUUACCUGGAGAAUCCCCAUAGACAGAGGAGCCUGGUGGGGUGCAGUCAAUGGGGUCGCAAAGAGGCAGACACGACUGAGUGACAAAGCACAGCCCAGCACACAUAAUACUCUCUACAAGAGACCCAUUUUCAAAUCUAGGUACACAUACAGACUGAAAGUGAAGGGAUGGGAGAAGAUAUUCAAUGCAAAUGGAAAUCUAAAGAAACCUGGAGUAGCCAUACUCACAUCAGACAAAAUAGACUUUAAAGACUGUUGCAAGAUUCAAGGACACCACAUCAUGAUCAAUGGAUUAUUCCAAGAAGAAGACACAACAAUUGUAAAUAAAUAUGCACCCAACAUAGGAGCACCUCAAUAUACAAACCGCCAUAAAAGGAGAAAACAUCAACAACACAAUAAUAGUGGGGGACUUUAGCACUCCACUUUCAUCCACGAAGAGCUCAUCCAGACAGAAAAUCAAGAAGGAAGCACAGCCCCUAAAUGACACAUUACACCAGAUGUACUUAAUUUUUAUUUCUAGGUCAUUCCAUCCAAAAACAGCAGAAUACACUUUCUUCUCGUGUGCACAUAGAACAUUCUUUAUAGAUCAUAUCUUGAGUCACAAAUCAAGCCACAUAAAUUUAAGAAAAUUGAAAUCAUAUCAAUAGUCUUUUCUGAUCACAAUGCUGUGGGAUUAGAAAUAAACUAUAAGAAAAAACUGCAAAAAAAAAAAAAUACAAACACGGGGAGGAUAAACAAUAUGUUCCAUAGUGUAUGUCCCAAUUUACAUUCCCACCAAUAGUGCAAGAGGAUUCCCUUUUCUCCACAUCCUCUUUGGAUUUACGUUUUGUAGAUUUGUUGAUGGUGGCCAUUCUGACAAGACUGUACUCGUUGUACUUUUGAAUUGCAUUUCAAUAAUAAAGAGCAAUGUUUCACA